UGGCUCAUUAAAUCAGUUAUCGUUUAUUUGAUAGUACCUUACUACUUGGAUAACCGUGGUAAUUCUAGAGCUAAUACAUGCUAAAAACCCCAACUUCGGGAGGGGUGUAUUUAUUAGAUAAAAAACCAACGCCCUUCGGGGCUCCUUGGUGAAUCAUAAUAACUUAACGGAUCGCAUGGCCUUGCGCCGGCGACGGUUCAUUCAAAUUUCUGCCCUAUCAACUUUCGAUUGUAGGGUAUUGGCCUACAAUGGUAUCAACGGGUAACGGGGAAUUAGGGUUCGAUUCCGGAGAGGGAGCCUGAGAAACGGCUACCACAUCCAAGGAAGGCAGCAGGCGCGCAAAUUACCCAAUCCCGACACGGGGAGGUAGUGACAAUAAAUACUGAUACAGGGCUCUUUUGGGUCUUGUAAUUGGAAUGAGUACAAUUUAAAUCCCUUAACGAGGAACAAUUGGAGGGCAAGUCUGGUGCCAGCAGCCGCGGUAAUUCCAGCUCCAAUAGCGUAUAUUAAAGUUGUUGCAGUUAAAAAGCUCGUAGUUGAACCUUGGGCCUGGCUGGCCGGUCCGCCUCACCGCGUGCACUGGUCCGGCCGGGCCUUUCCUUCUGGAGAGCCGCAUGCCCUUCACUGGGUGUGUCGGGGAACCAGGACUUUUACUUUGAAAAAAUUAGAGUGUUCAAAGCAGGCCUUUGCUCGAAUACAUUAGCAUGGAAUAAUAGAAUAGGACGUGCGGUUCUAUUUUGUUGGUUUCUAGGACCGCCGUAAUGAUUAAUAGGGAUAGUCGGGGGCAUCAGUAUUCAAUUGUCAGAGGUGAAAUUCUUGGAUUUAUUGAAGACUAACUACUGCGAAAGCAUUUGCCAAGGAUGUUUUCAUUAAUCAGUGAACGAAAGUUAGGGGAUCGAAGACGAUCAGAUACCGUCGUAGUCUUAACCGUAAACUAUGCCGACUAGGGAUCGGGCGAUGUUAUUAUUUUGACUCGCUCGGCACCUUACGAGAAAUC
This 997-nucleotide ribosomal RNA is filed under the name Rhytidhysteron sichuanense. RNAcentral's name for it is "SSU rRNA". It matches the Rfam family "Eukaryotic small subunit ribosomal RNA", at positions 94 to 1099 of the family's 1831-position model. Lineage: Eukaryota; Fungi; Ascomycota; Dothideomycetes; Hysteriales; Hysteriaceae. The record is from RNAcentral.